This 433-nucleotide ribosomal RNA is filed under the name uncultured bacterium. RNAcentral describes it as "partial 16S ribosomal RNA". It matches the Rfam family "Bacterial small subunit ribosomal RNA", at positions 29 to 507 of the family's 1533-position model. The record is from RNAcentral.
AACGAACGCUGGCGGCAUGCCUAACACAUGCAAGUCGAACGAGACCUUCGGGUCUAGUGGCGCACGGGUGCGUAACGCGUGGGAACCUGCCCUUAGGUUCGGAAUAACUCCCCGAAAGGGGUGCUAAUACCGGAUAAUGUCUUCGGACCAAAGAUUUAUCGCCUUUGGAUGGGCCCGCGUUGGAUUAGCUAGUUGGUAGGGUAAAAGCCUACCAAGGCGACGAUCCAUAGCUGGUCUGAGGGGAUGAUCAGCCACACUGGGACUGAGACACGGCCCAGACUCCUACGGGAGGCAGCAGUGGGGAAUAUUGGACAAUGGGCGAAAGCCUGACCCAGCAAUGCCGCGUGAGUGAUGAAGGCCUUAGGGUUGUAAAGCUCUUUUACCCGGGAUGAUAAUGACAGUACCGGGAGAAUAAGCUCCGGCUAACUCCGUG